RNAcentral lists this ribosomal RNA (253 nucleotides) under uncultured bacterium. RNAcentral describes it as "partial 16S ribosomal RNA". It matches the Rfam family "Bacterial small subunit ribosomal RNA", at positions 524 to 776 of the family's 1533-position model. The record is from RNAcentral.
UACGUAGGCAGCGAGCGUUGUUCGGAGUUACUGGGCGUAAAGGGUGUGUAGGCGGUUCUUUAAGUCUGGUGUGAAAUCUCCCGGCUCAACCGGGAGGGUGCGCCGGAUACUGAAGAGCUAGAGUGCGGGAGAGGAGAGUGGAAUUCCUGGUGUAGCGGUGAAAUGCGUAGAUAUCAGGAGGAACACCGGUGGUGUAGACGGCUCUCUGGACCGCUACUGACACUGAGACACGAAAGCGUGGGGAGCAAACAGG